RNAcentral lists this transfer RNA (86 nucleotides) under Marinomonas transparens. RNAcentral's name for it is "tRNA-Met". The stretch from base 7 to 67 matches the Rfam family "tRNA", at positions 7 to 64 of the family's 71-position model. Rfam says of the family: Transfer RNA (tRNA) molecules are approximately 80 nucleotides in length. The record is from RNAcentral. Lineage: Bacteria; Pseudomonadati; Pseudomonadota; Gammaproteobacteria; Oceanospirillales; Oceanospirillaceae.
UGCGGGAUGGAGUAGUCUGGUAGCUCGUCGGGCUCAUAAGCCGAAGGUCGUAGGUUCGCUUUCUAUUAAGAAAAGUGCUCCCGCAA